This 429-nucleotide ribosomal RNA is filed under the name Acidobacteriota bacterium. RNAcentral describes it as "Acidobacteria bacterium partial 16S ribosomal RNA". It matches the Rfam family "Bacterial small subunit ribosomal RNA", at positions 355 to 776 of the family's 1533-position model. Lineage: Bacteria; Pseudomonadati; Acidobacteriota. The record is from RNAcentral.
UGGGGAAUUUUGGACAAUGGGGGAAACCCUGAUCCAGCCAUCCCGCGUGUGCGAUGAAGGCCUUCGGGUUGUAAAGCACUUUUGGCAGGAAAGAAACGUCAUGGGUUAAUACCCCGUGAAACUGACGGUACCUGCAGAAUAAGCACCGGCUAACUACGUGCCAGCAGCCGCGGUAAUACGUAGGGUGCAAGCGUUAAUCGGAAUUACUGGGCGUAAAGCGUGCGCAGGCGGUUCGGAAAGAAAGAUGUGAAAUCCCAAAGCUCAACUUUGGAACUGCAUUUUUAACUACCGGGCUAGAGUGUGUCAGAGGGAGGUGGAAUUCCGCGUGUAGCAGUGAAAUGCGUAGAUAUGCGGAGGAACACCGAUGGCGAAGGCAGCCUCCUGGGAUAACACUGACGCUCAUGCACGAAAGCGUGGGGAGCAAACAGG